UAGCCUCUUCCUUUAUCCGUAGAGCUUCAGAAGAAGAAGAUGGGUUUCAAGAAUGCGAUAAAGAAUAGAAAUGGCUUCAGAUGGCCUCUAAAGCAUGAGCAAUCGAAUCAGUAGUUGCUAGGAGAUAUGAUGAAGACAUUGUCAAUGCUUUGAGCUAUACAAGUCCUGCAGAAAGAUAAAGGACCAAACUGUUAAAGAAACUGAAA
RNAcentral lists this long non-coding RNA (206 nucleotides) under Prunus persica (peach). Its description in RNAcentral is "long non-coding RNA (PPER_LNC000553)". Lineage: Eukaryota; Viridiplantae; Streptophyta; Magnoliopsida; Rosales; Rosaceae. The record is from RNAcentral.